AGAGUUUGAUCAUGGCUCAGGAUUAACGCUGGCGGCAUGCCUAAUACAUGCAAGUCGAAUGGGAAAGCUUGCUUUUCCAUGGCGAACGGGUGAGUAACACGUAGGUAACCUACCUUAAGGACGAGGAUAACCUUUGGAAACGAAGGAUAAUACUGGAUAGGACAUUACAAAGCACAUGCUUAAAUGUUUAAAGGAGCAAUCCACCAUAAGAGGGGCCUGCGGCGCAUUAGCUAGUUGGUGAGGUAAAGGCCCACCAAGGCGAUGAUGCGUAGCUGGACUGAGAGGUUGAACAGCCACAAUGGGACUGAGAACGGCCCAUACUCCUACGGGAGGCAGCAGUAGGGAAUUUUCGGCAAUGGACGAAAGUCUGAACCCGAGCAAUGCCGCGUGAACGAAGAAGUAUUUCGGUAUGUAAAGUUCUUUUAUCAGGGAAGAAAAACAAAUUGACUGAACCUGAUGAAUAAGCUCCGGCUAACUACGUGCCAGCCGCCGC
RNAcentral lists this ribosomal RNA (493 nucleotides) under uncultured bacterium. RNAcentral describes it as "bacterial SSU rRNA". It matches the Rfam family "Bacterial small subunit ribosomal RNA", at positions 8 to 518 of the family's 1533-position model. The record is from RNAcentral.